GGGGAUUUAGCUCAGCGGCAUAAGCACCUGCCUUGCAAGCAGGUAGUCAUGAGUUCAAUUGUUCAAUCCCUG
This 72-nucleotide transfer RNA is filed under the name Cavia porcellus (domestic guinea pig). It matches the Rfam family "tRNA". Rfam says of the family: Transfer RNA (tRNA) molecules are approximately 80 nucleotides in length. The record is from Rfam by way of RNAcentral. Lineage: Eukaryota; Metazoa; Chordata; Mammalia; Rodentia; Caviidae.